Molecule: ribosomal RNA, 467 nt
Filed under: uncultured bacterium
Lineage: Bacteria
Description: partial 16S ribosomal RNA
Rfam family: Bacterial small subunit ribosomal RNA
Source: RNAcentral
GACGAACGCUGGCGGCGUGCUUAACACAUGCAAGUCGAACGGAAAGGCCUCUUUCGGGGGGUACUCGAGUGGCGAACGGGUGAGUAACACGUGAGUAACCUGCCCUUGACUUUGGGAUAACUUCAGGAAACUGGGGCUAAUACCGGAUAGGAGCUCCUGCUGCAUGGUGGGGGUUGGAAAGUUUCGGCGGUUGGGGAUGGACUCGCGGCUUAUCAGCUUGUUGGUGGGGUAGUGGCUUACCAAGGCUUUGACGGGUAGCCGGCCUGAGAGGGUGACCGGCCACAUUGGGACUGAGAUACGGCCCAGACUCCUACGGGAGGCAGCAGUGGGGAAUAUUGCACAAGGGGUGGAAGCCUGAUGCAGCAACGCCGUGGGCGGGAGGACGGCCUUCGGGUUGUAAACCGCUUUCGCUCAUGACGAAGCUUUGUGUGACGGUAGUGGGUAAAGAAGCACCGGCUAACUACGUG